Molecule: ribosomal RNA, 743 nt
Filed under: Mecodema simplex
Lineage: Eukaryota; Metazoa; Arthropoda; Insecta; Coleoptera; Carabidae
Description: partial 16S ribosomal RNA
Rfam family: Bacterial large subunit ribosomal RNA (bases 1-563)
Source: RNAcentral
UAAGGUUUAACCUGCCCACUGAAUAAUUUAAAUGGCCGCAGUAUUUUAACUGUGCAAAGGUAGCAUAAUCAUUAGUUUUUUAAUUAAAAGCUUGUAUGAAAGGUUGGACGAGGUAAAAACUGUUUCUAUUUAAUUUAUUAUAAAAUUUAAUUUUUAAGUUAAAAAGCUUAAAUUUUUUUAAAAGACGAGAAGACCCUAUAGAUCUUUAUAUUUAUUAUUUUAUUUUUAAUUAAGACUUAUUUAAAUUUUAUUAUAUUAAAUAUUUUAUUGGGGUAAUAAGAAGAUUAAAAAAAUUCUUUUAUAUAUUAUUCAUUGAUUAAUGUUUUAAUGAUCCAAUUUUAUUGAUUAUAAGAUUAAGUUACCUUAGGGAUAACAGCGUAAUUUUUUUAGAGAGUUCAUAUCGAUAAGAAAGUUUGCGACCUCGAUGUUGGAUUAAAGAUUAAUUUAGGUGUAGAAUUUUAAAUUUUUGGUCUGUUCGACCAUUAAAUCUUUACAUGAUCUGAGUUCAGACCGGUGUAAGCCAGGUCGGUUUCUAUCUUUAAUAAUAGAGUAUAUUUUAGUACGAAAGGACCAAAUAUAUAAUAUAUAAAUAUUUAUUAGUUUUUGAAUAUUAUUAAUUAUUUUGGCAGAUUAGUGCAAUGAAUUUAGAAUUCAUAUAUGUAAAUUUUUACAAGUAAUACUUGUUUUAUAUAGAUGUAAUAUUUUCUUUUAUUUGUAUAUUAUUAUUAAUUAUUUGUGUAUUA